Candoia aspera is the source of this 129-nucleotide small nucleolar RNA. RefSeq annotates it as small nucleolar RNA U109. The transcript has a single exon. The record is from RefSeq and is a predicted model, not a curated record. Lineage: Eukaryota; Metazoa; Chordata; Lepidosauria; Squamata; Candoiidae.
UCGCAUGAUGGAAGCUUAUCAUUCUUCUGUGUUCCAAGGAGAGUGCGCAUUCCUUCAGCACUGUAAAAUAAGGAGAUUUCUACCUGCCUUGAAAUAGAGGCUGGAUGGUAGUAUAUUUCUCCUACAUAA